ACGAGUGAGUAAUGCUUAUCUUACCUACCGUUUAGUGGGGGAUAAAAUACCGCAUAUUCUGGCUUUGGCCAGGAAAGGAAGUCGUAAGGCUUUCGCUAAAUGACGGGGAUAAGUCGCAUCAGCCGAUGAAAGUAGGGUAAUGGCCUACUGAGGCAAUGACGCGUAGCCGGGCUGAGAGGCUGAACGGCCACAAGGGAACUGAAACACGGCUCCUACUCCUACGGGAGGCAGCAAUGGGGAAUCGUCGGCAAUGGGGGAAACCCUGACCGCGCAAUGCUACGUGAAGGAAGAAGGUCCACGGAUUGUAAACUUCUUUACUAAAGGGUACUGACGCAAGGAUUGCCCUUUGGCAAAAAGUCACGACUAACUACGUGCCAGCAGUCGCGGUAAGACGUAGGUGGCGAACGUUAUCCGGAAUUAUUGGGCGUAAAGGGUGCGUAGGUGGCCUGACAAGUUAUCAGUGGCAAAUCGAGGCUCAACCUCGUGGAAACUGGUAAUACUGUCCGGCUUGAGUACAGGAGAGGUUAACGGAACUCUAUGUGGAGCGGUAAAAUGCACAGAUAUAUAGAAGAACAUCAAUAAGGCGAAAGCAGUUAACUAUUCUGUUACUGACGCUGAGGCACGAAAGCGUGGGGAGCAAAACGGAUUAGAUACCCGUGUAGUCCACGCCCUAAACGAUGAGUGCUAGAUAUUGGGAACUUGAUUCUCAGUGUCGCUAGGUAACCCGGUAAGCACUCCGCCUGGGGAGUACGCUCGCAAGAGUGAAACUUAAAGGAAUUGACGGGGACUCGCACAAGCAGUGGAGCAUGUGGUUUAAUCCGAUACAACGCGUAGAACCUUACCAAGGCUUGACAUGUUCGGCAAAACUGUGGAAACACAGCGGAGGUUAUCCGGACACAGGUGCUGCAUGGCCGUCGUCAGUUCGUGCCGUGAGGUGUAUGGUUAAGUCCUAUAACGAACGCAACCCUUGGGCUUAGUUGCCAGCAUUAAGUUGGGGACUCUAAGCCGACUGCCUGAGUAAUCAGGAGGAAGGAAAGGAUGACGUCUGGUCGUC
This 1054-nucleotide ribosomal RNA is filed under the name uncultured bacterium. Its description in RNAcentral is "bacterial SSU rRNA". It matches the Rfam family "Bacterial small subunit ribosomal RNA", at positions 102 to 1194 of the family's 1533-position model. The record is from RNAcentral.